UACAGAGGGUGCGAGCGUUAAUCGGAAUUACUGGGCGUAAAGCGUGCGUAGACGGUUAUUUAAGUCGGGUGUGAAAGCCCCGGGCUCAACCUGGGAAUUGCAUUCGAGACUGAAUAGCUAGGGUACGGUAGAGGGAAGCGGAAUUUCCGGUGUAGCGGUGAAAUGCGUAGAUAUCGGAAGGAACAUCAGUGGCGAAGGCGGGUCUCUGGACAGUUCCUGACACUGAGGCACGAAGGCCAGGGGAGCAAACGGG
Molecule: ribosomal RNA, 253 nt
Filed under: uncultured prokaryote
Description: partial 16S ribosomal RNA
Rfam family: Bacterial small subunit ribosomal RNA
Source: RNAcentral